Molecule: small nuclear RNA, 108 nt
Organism: Balaenoptera musculus (blue whale)
Lineage: Eukaryota; Metazoa; Chordata; Mammalia; Artiodactyla; Balaenopteridae
Source: Ensembl
GUGCUCGCUUUGGCAGCACGUGUGCUAAAAUUUGAAUGAUACAGAGAAAAUUAGCAUGGCCAAUAAAUAAAAGAAGAAAUAGACAAGGAAGAUGGGGGUGGGAGUGCU